CCGGGGAUCUGUUCAAUCUACAACAACUCAGCAAAACUGAAACAGAAAAAACUAUCUUUGUCAAAAGUGGCUCACCUGAAGGUUAGAAUAACAUAAAAUAACUUAGCUUAAUAAGUAUCGAGGUCCACUUUUGCAUUAUGUUUUUCGAGAAAGAUGUUAAACAUAUCUGACUUGUUUUUGGCUCUCUACUUUCAGAUCAAACUAAGGCUAAGAAAUCGAUGAAGCUGGUAGUUCUACUUUCAUCCACAACAGCUUUUAUCGUUCUAUUCAUAGGAAGCUUUAGUUACAUUUACUAUAGAAGAAGAAGAAGAAGAAUGACAAAAGGAACAGGUAUUUACUGAAUGAAUCUCACUCUGGAAAAUAUUUCGUUCGUACCUUUUUUUAACUUAAUUUGCUUUCUCAAUCUUAUUGAGGUAAUGAGGUCAUUCUGUUUUUCUUAUUCCUUUUCCCUAAAUGAUACUCAAGGGACACAAAUAUCUCACUUGGACAAGAUUGGAGGAGGAGAAAUCAUUGAUGUUCCAUACUUUUGUUUGGAGACCAUUUUGGUAGCUACAGAUAACUUCUCGAAUGCAAAUAAGCUCGGACAAGGAGGAUUUGGUCCUGUUUACAAGGUUAAAAUAUAAUUAUUGCACCUCUGUGUACUGGUAUGGCUUAAUUGACCAAUAGUAAUGAGAUGAACAACUUUUAACAGGGUAUCUUUCCAGGCGGAAAAGAAAUUGCAGUGAAAAGGUUAUCUAGUCAUUCAGGACAAGGCAUAGAUGAAUUUAAGAAUGAAGUGACUUUAAUUGCAAAACUUCAACACAGAAAUCUGGUCAGGCUUUUGGGCUAUUGCAUCAACGGAAAGGAACAAAUUUUACUGUAUGAAUAUAUGCCAAAUAAAAGUUUAGAUACAUUCAUAUUUGGUAAGUUUGCCAAGGUAUGUUCUUUAUUCUCAAGCACCUAUACUAUUGACAAGAUUUAAUCUUUGUCAUGAUAUUUAUGCAAGAUGGAGAACUUUGCAAAUUAUUGGAUUGGAAGAAGCGCUAUGACAUCAUAUUGGGUAUUGGACGAGGUCUUGCUUAUCUCCACCAUGAUUCACGACUAAGGAUCAUUCAUAGAGAUUUAAAAACCAGCAACAUUUUACUAGAUGAGGAUAUGAAUCCCAAGAUUGCAGACUUUGGCUUGGCGAGGAUUGUUGAAGGAAGAAGAACAGAAGCAAAGACAGAGAAAAUAGUUGGGACCUAGUAAGUAUAACAUCCUUCCUAUUGAUCAUUUUUCCCUUUUGCUUUUGUAAAAUACAUCUAACACGUUUUCGACAUGGUGUAAUCAAGUGGCUAUAUGUCUCCUGAAUAUGCAUCAGAUGGUCUGUUUUCCCUCAAGUCAGAUGUAUUCAGUUUCGGAGUAGUCAUACUUGAGAUGAUCAGUGGACGAAAGAACACAGGAUUUUACCAAUCAGAAGAAGCAUUAAACUUGUUAGGUUAUGUAAGUGCAGAAACUCAGACCUACAUCAUUUUUGUCCUUUUUGCAAGUUUUGAUAUCUAACUGGAAGUUAUCACAGGCAUGGAGAAUGUGGAUAGAAGAAAGGGCAAUGCAAUUAACAGAGAAGUCAUUACUAGAAUCAUGCAAUAGAAGUGAAGUGAUGAAGUGUAUCAAUGUUGCACUCUUGUGCGUGCAAGAAGAUUCAAAUGAUCGUCCUAAAAUGUCAGAUGUCAUUGUAAUGUUGGUAGGAGAAGGUACGAGUCUUCAGAGACCUAAUAGACCAGCUUUUGUAAUAAGAACACACGCGUCUAGCAGACCAUCUUCUCCCUCAAAAGUCUCUAACAAUCAAGUGACAAUUACAGAAGAAGGAGGACGGUAGUAAUGGUGUGAGAUCAUCUUAAUUUUCAUUUAUAUAUGAUACAAUUGUAAUGUUUUCCUGCAGACUUCUAAAGCACGAGCAGAAAAAUAAUCUAUAUUUUGUUAGUAUCUUGAUUGUAAUUUGUAGCCAUGACAUUGUUAUCCUUACACAUAUAUUACAUGCACUUUUCAGAUCUCAAUCAUUUAUCUCUUAAUGCUUCCAAGUGGGGCUGCUCAACUAAAACCUUAUCUCAUAGUCUCUCGAGAACAACCAAAUAUAACAACAUCAUUAAUCAAUGGCCAAUCAAUUAAUUACAAUCAUUACAUAGUUGAACAAAUAGGGUUAGAAAAACUCAAUUAUAUAAAAAUGUAACAAGAAUUCAUCUUGCAUAAGGUUUUACCAAAUUUCUAGAUAGAAAAUUAGCUACUCAUAAAAGUAUGUAAAAAUACACUAAGAAAAUUCAUAACCAAUAAUAAAAAAUAGAAAAAAGAAAGUAACGGAAAACUCAUUAUGUAUCAAAUCUUUCGCCUUGCUCCACAAUGGCUCCUUGGUCUCACCUUAGGUCAAACCACCUCCAAUACAUGUUUAUGAACUAUUUAUAGGUGUAGAAAAGUUUCAAAUAAAUUAAUCAAUUUCAAAAUAAUUUGAAAAAAAAUCAAAUUUAGAAUUGACUUGACACACCAUCCACGGACAAAUUUCCAGUGACAAAAAUUGUUGGGUCGCUUGGAAUGGUGUUAUUCUUCAAUACUUGUGAUUUCAUAACUUUUCCUUGGGGACAAUCAUUAUUUCCCCACUUGUCUCCCUCUUCUUUUACCUUUUUUUUCUUGUUUUAAUUUAAUUUUGCUCCGAAUUUUGACAUCUUCAAAUUAUUUCAUACAAUCUAUUAUAUACCCAUAUUUAUAUGAGUGGAUUGAAGUCCAAUUCAUUUUCAAUAUUGCUACUUUUUUGCCGCCACUAAUUAGAAGAAAAAUGAAAGUAUGUUAGCAAUAAGAAAUAUCAACUUGUUUUUUACUACAUUCAUCGACUCCAAAGCAGAAACGUCUCCUUAUUGUUUCAGCCAUAUUCAACAAAUUGUGUUAUGUGUAGCCAUCGAAAUGAACAAUCGUUGGCCUCUAGUACUCUUUUUAUGCUUCAAACUCAACAGUAAUCUAUGUUUUGGAGGGGACACUAUUUCCGCGAAUAAAUCUCUUUCAUUUGGCGAAACAAUAGUCUCUUCAGGUGAGAAAUUUGAGCUUGGUUUCUUCAAAUCAGGUAAUUCUUUCAACUACUACAUAGGCAUAUGGUACAAGAACACUAUUUUAUGGCAAAAUGUAGUAUGGGUAGCAAAUAGGGAUAAACCACUUGAUUAUGGUACUGCUAACUUAACAAUUCUUCAAGGCAACCUGGUGCUUAUCGAUAAAUUUCAAGGUAUAGUUUUGUCAACACAUGUUGCUAGGACUAUUACUUCAAAUAAUUCAGUCAUAGCAGUUCUUCGUGACGAUAUAAAUUUGAUUUUGAGUGAUAUGUCAAAUUCAUCAGCAACCUUAAUACUAUGGGAAAGUUUUGACUAUCCAACAGAUACAUUGUUGCCUGGUGCUAAGCUUAGAUACGACAAACGUCGUACACAUAGGGGACAGGUUCUGAUUUCAUGGAAGAGUUUGAGUGAUCCAGCACCAGGAUUGUAUUCUCUAGAACUAGACCCCAUCCAUGCCCGAUUUGUUAUAAAAUGGAAUAGGACUAAACAAUUUUGGGCAAGUGGUUCAUGGAAUGGCCAUACGUUCAGCCCGUUUCCUAAAAUGGGGUUAGACUACACGUAAAAUUACAACUAUACCAACAAUGGAAAUGGAUCAUAAGUUACAUAUUCCCUUUCUAAUUAUACUAGUUCAUGGCCACCAAAGUGGAAAAUAGAUGUCUCAGGAAAAAUUAAGGAACUCGUAUGGUUGGAUAGUGACUCUCAUUGGACUCUAUUGUGGUCUCAACCUAGAGAACAAUUUACGCUUAUUGUGGGGCAUUUGGAGUUUGCAAUAAUGCUAAUUCAUCCUGAAACUGUUUAAGCGGUUUCAAGCCAAGAUCAUAUAGAGAAUGGAGUUCGAAUGAUUAUAUGAGUGGCUGUGUAAGAAAUGAAAAGUUAAAGUGCAGUGCAAUUAAUAAAGAUGAGGAUAGUUUUUGGAUGAAUUCAAUUAUGAGAUUACCUGCUUCUCCAGAUACUAAUAUCACCAUUAGCGAAGCAUCACAGUGUAGAUCUACUUGUUUCAACGAUUGCUCUUGCACUGCUUAUACUUAUGAUGGUUCCGGUACCUGUUCAAUUUGGAGAGGAUAUCUAUUAAAUCUGCAACAACUCAGCGAAAAUGAAACAGGAAGGAGUAUCUUUGUCAAACGCGGCUCAACUGAAGGUUAGAAUAGCUAAAACUUAGUAGGAUUUCUUAUAUACAUUAGCAAUUAGCAACAACAAUGAUUCUCCUUUUCCUUUUUCCUUAAGCUUGAAAUAAAUUCUUAAAAGGUAUUUGUGAGUUAGCCUUAUUAAGUUCCACCCGAGGCAUUCGUCAAGUUAUUCAUAUCAUAAUAGAAGGUUGAUGUUGACAGUUGAAAGACUAAAGAAAAAUUAAGUCUGAAUUUUGAUUUUUAGACAAAAGAUGAUGGAACAUCAAUCCAAAUAUUUCAGUCACUGCAAUUCUUCGUGAUGAUGGAAAUUUGAUUUUGAGUGAUGUGUCAAAGGCAUCAACACCCUUACUACUUUGGCAAAGUUUUGACUACCAAACACACAUACUUUUGCCUGGUGCUAAACUUGGAUAUGACAAACAUACACAAAGAAAACACAUUCUGGUUUCAUAGAAGAAUUUGAGUGAUUCAGCACCAGGAUUGUAUUCUGUGGAAAUAGACCCAAAGCAUGUUGUUAUAAAAUAGAAUAGGACUACAGAGUAUUGGGCAAGUGGUUCAUGGGAUGGCCAAAUGUUCAGCACAGUACCUGAAAUGAGGUUAAGCUACAUAUAUGAUUGUAGAUACAGAAAGGACUAUAUUUGUCAAGAGUGGCUCACCUUUAGGUUAGAAUAGCAUAGUGUAACAUAGCUUGAUUCUUUAUUCAUAAUGGUACUAUGAUAUUGAUAGAAUUCCUUAUUAACGUUAGCACUUAACAACAAUGAUUCUCCUUUUCCUUUUCCUGUGUUGAGGAGCUUGUUGAGCAAACUAGAACUUAAGAUAGAAAUAAUUCUUAAAAAGUAUUAAUGAUAAGUUCUGAGGUCCAAUGAAUAUUUGCAUCAAAGUUCUUCAAGAUAGAUGCUAAUAUAUCUAACAUGGUUUUGGAUUUAUACUUUCAGCUCAAACUAAAGCUAAGAAAUCGAUGAAGCUAAAAGCACUCCUUUCGUCCAUAACAGCUUUGAUGUUUCUAAUCAUAGGCAGCUUUAGCUACAUUUACUAUAGAAGAAGAAUGGCAAAAAGAGCAGGUAUUUUCUGAAUGAAUAUAACUCUAGAAGAUAUUUUUUCUUAAACCAUUUUGGACUUGAUAUCAAAGUUCAUUCUCAAUCCAAUUGAGGUAAUGAAAUCCCUCCCCCUUUCUAUUUCAGAUAGAAGUAAAGGUACUCAAGGGGCACAUAAAUCUCACUGGCACAAAGCUGAAGGAGAAGCGAAAGUAUUGAUGAAUGAAAACAGUGAUGAAGCGAUUUGAUGUUCCAUACUUUUCACUUGGAGACCAUUUUUGGCUGCUACAGACAACUUCUCAAAUGCAAAUAAGCUCGGACAAGGAGGAUUUGGUCCUGUUUACAAGGUUAAAAUUACAAUCUUACAUCUCUGUGGACUGGUAUGGACGCACCACAUUGACCAAUAGUAAUGAGAUGAAAAACUUUUGGCAGGGCAUCUUUCCUUGCGAAAAAGAAAUUGCAGUGAAAAGGUUAUCUAGUCAUUCAGGACAAGGCAUAGAUGAAUUUAAGAAUGAAGUGACUCUAAUUGCAAAGCUUCAACAUCGAAAUCUGGUGAGACUACUAUUGGGCUAUUGCAUCAAUGCAAUGGAACAAAUUUUACUAUAUGAAUAUAUGCCACAUAAAAGUCUAGAUACAUUCAUAUUUGGUAAGUUUGCCAAGAUUUGUUCUUUAUUCUCAAGCUACUAUACUUUUGACAAGAUUUAAUUUUGUUAAUUGAUGUCAUUUUAUUUGUUCUAAUGAUAACUAUGCAAGAUGGAAAACUUUGCAAAUUAUUGGAUUGGAAGAAGCGCUAUGACAUCAUAUUGGGCAUUGGACGAGGUCUUGCUUAUCUCCACCAUGAUUCACGACUAAGGAUCAUUCAUAGAGAUUUAAAAACCAGCAACAUUUUACUAGAUAAGGAGAUGAAUCCCAAGAUUGCAGACUUUGGCUUGGCGAGGAUUGUUGAAGGAAAAAGAACAGAGGCAAAGACAAAGAAAAUAGUUGGGACCUAGUAAGUAUAACAUCCUUCCUAUCGAUCAUUUUCUCCUUUUGUUUUUGUAAAAUACAUCUAACACGUUUUCGACAUGGUGUAAUCAAGUGGCUAUAUGUCUCCUAAAUAUGCAUCAGAUGGUCUAUUUUCCAUCAAGUCAGAUGUAUUCAGUUUCGGAGUUGUCAUACUUGAGAUAAUCAGUGGAAGAAAGAAUACAGGAUUUUACCAAUCAGAAGAAGCAUUAAACUUGUUAGGUUAUGUAAGUGAAGAAACUCAGACCUACAUCAUUUUUGUCAUUUUUGCAAGUUUUGAUAUCUAAUUGGAAGUUAUCAUAAGCAUGGAGAAUGUGGAUAGAAGAAAGGGUAAUACAAUUAACAGAGAAGUCAUUACUUGAAUCAUGCAAUAGAAGUGAAGUGAUGAAGUGUAUCAAUGUUGCACUCUUGUGCGUGCAAGAAGAUUCAAAUGAUCGUCCUAAAAUGUCAGAUGUCAUUGUAAUGUUGGUAGGAGAAGGUUUGAGUCUUCAGAGACCUAAUCGACCAGCUUUUGUAAUAAGAACACACACGUCUAGCACAUUGUCUUCUUCCUCAAAAUUCUCUAACAAUCAAGUGACAAUUACAGAAGAAGGAGGACGAUAACAAUGGUGUGAGAUAGUCUUAACUUUUUAUUUAUAUAUGAUACAAUUGUAAUUUUGUCCUGCAGACUUCUGAAGCACUAAGCAGAAACUAGGUCUCAUGCAUGCUUUCCAAAAGCAUAUGGCCUUCAUGAAAAUUGUUAAAUAUUAAAAUAAUCUUAUGCAUAGUCGUUAUAUUGUUGUUUGUAGUAACAAUAAAUCCUGAAAUCUCUUUUUUUAAUAAACUAUCUACACCCCAAACAGUGUAAUUUUUUAAAACACUAUCUUAUGUAUAAUCGUUAAUAUCUUGAUGUUGAACUUUUGUAGCCAUUACUUUGUUAUCCUAGCACAUAUAUUAAUGCACUUUUCAGAUCUCUCUAGCCUCAAUCUUAUAUUCAUCGUUUAAGUACCUGCAUUGUUGAAUAUCCAGUCUAUUUGCAUCCGUCUCGUUGUUGGAUCAACUGAGUGAUUGUUGUUAAAGAAAAAGGUGGGAACUCAUGACCCCAGAUCAUAAAAGGGUGGUAGAGCUGCAGAAGGCAUUGACGACGAUGGCUUCUAACAACACCGGAGUAAGUGGGCAGACGCUACUGGGAACGCCCACACCACAAAGAGAAUCAAGAAUCCGUUUCGCAGCUGAGGCCCUUCCAGAAGAAUAUAGGGCUGACAGGUCGGGAAGUGGUUUCAAGAUUGGAACGUUGAUGCUGCAGUCUAUCAGGUAUGAACUCAGGUCGGGCCUGAAGGAAUACCCUCCUGAACUAGAUCCCCAGAGCAUCUCUGGCCUUGAAGGGACCAGAUCCUCAAAGUUGCUCUUAACUACCAUACAAGGCCAGUGCCACACCGAAACCUAUUCCAAAAAGGUUCAGGAUGCCGGAUAUACCAAAAAAUGACGCAAGCUUUGUAAAGAUAUGACACCUGGGUCUAACUCAACCCCAAAAGCUAGUUCAUGAGGAGAGGAUUGCCCAAGUCCAUAUAAGGAGACCACCAGUCCAUUCUCCAACCAAUGUGGGACUUUUACCUACUCUAACACCCCCCUUCACUCCCAGGCCUAGCUGGCACGUGGACCGGAGCCCAAAUGGGGACGUGGCCUGGCUCUAAUACCAUGUAAAGAUAUGACACCUGGGUCUAACUCAACCCCAAAAGCUAGCUCAUGAGGGGAAGAUUGCCCAAGUCCAUAUAAAGAGACCACCAGUCCAUUCUCCAACCAAUGUGAGACUUUUACCCACUCUAACACCCCUCUUCACAUCCAGGCCUAACUGGCGCGUGGACCGGGAGCCCAAAUGGGGAUGUGGACCUAGCUCUGAUACCAUGUAAAGAUAUAGCACCUGGGCCUAACUCAACCCCAAAAGCUAGCUCAUGAAGGGAGGAUUGCUCAAGUCCAUAUAAGGAGACCACCAAUCCAUUCUCCAACCAAUGUGGGACUUUUACCCACUCUAACAAGCUUGAAUACCCUCAUUAAGCAAACAUGCAAGGGAGAUUUCGUCUAUCUCGCCUUGGUUUUUUUUGGUAAGGUUUCAAAUAGUCGGCCACCAUGACUAUUUUUUAGAGAAGGUUAACUUUUUCAAAAACCAAUAAACCCUUAUCCUCAAAGAUGGGACUAGAGCGGCCAUCGCCGAGAUGAAAAAAGCUAGCUUUUCAGGGGGAAGAUGAAGGCUGGGAUAUGAUCUUUGUUGCACCCAACCCUGAGCCAAUAUGAGUAUAAGGUAUAGGCCAACGAGAUUUGACCAUUUCGACAUGUUCAACCUCAACGUACAAUUGUUCGACCUCACUGAGGUCUGUGAUAGAGGUGGCCGAAGAUCUCUUCUUUGUAAGAGGUAAGGCAUCAUCACAAAUCUCCUCAAUGUAAGACUCAGCUGGCAGCAGUGAUCAGUCCAUUGCCAUGGAUAACAGUUGAGGCCUUAUCAGGUUUUUUCUUCUUUUGUGGCGAAGAAUUAGAGGCCACAACUGUUUCCUCAGCAGCAAUGGCCGGUUAUGAGGGACGUUUGACCCUGAGAACACAGUCACAUAUUGUCGAGCUUCCUACGGCGUAACAAACUCUUUUGGUUCGCAGCUCGGACGAACCCUUUGGAAGACCUAUGUGUACAAAAAUAUAUUUUAAAAAAUGGAUAUACUUUCAUAUGAGUAUUUUAGAGAAGAAUUAAUAAGAAAUACAGUGAUUUUAGCUUUUUAGCCUUUGACGCCGGAUAUUUGCUUCCAUGACCGAUCCUUGGACACGGCAAUGUCCAAAACCUUUGAAACCAUUGCCAGAUAGGGAGUCGUUAAACAACAACCAAGCAUGCGCUGAGUAAUAAAUUCUAUAUGAACUUAAAACAGGGUAUCGAAAGACCGCAAAGAGAGAAAAUGUAUGAAGACUUGUGGGUAAGGUUCCAUGAUUCUGGAAUCAGGUACUCCAGAACAAUAUCUUCGGUGGUGACGAUAACAAUUCUCUCCAUCCAACGGUGGUCAUGAUCAUUAUCUAGACUUGUGCGAGGAGAAUAAAGCAAGAUCAAGUAAUCCAAAGAAAAGGAUUGACUGGCUUUCUCAGCCAACACUCAGAGGCAAGUCAGGGCCCUUCAAAUGACCGUACCCACUUGCGCCAGACAUAUCUGGUAGAACUAGUAGAAUCGGAUGAAAACCUCGUCUAUUUCUGGGUCUCUGAAGUUGAGAGCGAAGCAGUAAGAAUAGAUAAACAAAUAACUGGGUUUGGAGAAGUUUAAGCUCUCGAUAAUACCAGGAGAAAAUACCCUAACUUUAUCUUCUGGCUACUUAUAGUUAGACCGAAUGGUGGGUAGAUGUUCUUCACAGAUUAGAGAAACAGUAACACUGGCUAGUUUUCAAAACUAUUAUAUCAACUGAAGGCUCUGGGGACUCAACUUAUACUUAUUUGUUUUCCUUCGGGCCACCAUCGAAGAGAGAAGAAUUAGGAUGAGUCGGAGACGAAACAUCGUUGGUAAAAUCUGGGAAAGAAUGAAAAUAAGAAGGUUUGAAUAUAACGAGAUGUGAAGUUUUGAAGAUUCAAGGAUUAAAGGCAAGAAAUCAAAGAGAUGAAGAGAAACUUGGAAAAUUGUAGAAGUUGGGAAUUGGUACAAAGGGCACUAUUUAUAGAUUCAUGAACGAAGAAGUCAUCAUUAUCUUGAUUGACGCGCCAUUUCUGGAUCAGGAUCUAGACGAUGCAUGGUAAGCGCAUUUACAGCGAUGGGAUAUUCACCUCUGUGAAUGUCAAGAGACGUUUCAUUUACUUUCCUGCCUAGGAAUUUUGAAAAUACUCUGCUUUCUGGUUACAAGUUAGCAAAGUAUCCGAAAAGCGGGGGUACUAUCUGUAUUAGGGAAAAUUAUCAUGUAUAUGUGGACACUUAUAACAAAGGGACACCAAGCAUCAGAGUGUUACCGGAGGAUGAUUUAGCAUAGAGACAUCGGGAAGAGCUUCCUUCGAGAUGUCAUCGUUUAAGUACCUAAAUUGUUGCACAUCCACUCCGUUUGAUUUUAUCUCAUUGCCGGAUCAACAAGUGAUUGUUAUUAAAGAAAAAGGUGGAAACUCAUGGCCCAAGGUCAUGAAAGAAGAAGAAAGGGACUUGUGGCCCGAAGACACGUCAACCAGGUCUGGAUAAGAUCCUGCGAAUCACGGGAGAAUAAUAGUUGGCUCACGUAACGGUAUUUCCAGGUGGAUUACUUUAAUUGGACAAUGUACCUUAGGGCUCGAGUGGAGUUUUCCUAUUGGCUGGUGUAUUUUCUUUGUUGCCUAUGAUUUCAUAUCAUGAUUUCAUCUCAUAUGAUCAAACAGGCUCUAAGAGAAUAUGUAUCUACUUUCAAAUGUUUGGUCGGCCUAAAAGUGCUUAGAGAAAAGUGUCAUGGCUGACAAAAUCUUGAAAGAAGCCAUGAGUGGACACAAGCAGGUGAAACUUUGACAAAAGGCAUCAAAAAACUUCAGUAGAUUGAAAAAAGUAUAAAGAAGUUACAGGCUCUUAUCUAAUGGGCCAACUCUCACUACCUCAAAAGUUCACUUGGGAAAUUUCACAAACACAUUGUACGCGAUUUACUAAUGGACAAUAAACACACACAAAUAACAAGUAUUCCAAUAUAUAUUUGAGUUGUAAGAAAUUGAAUAUGGAUUAACAAAGUACCUGUCUGUGGUUAUCGAUUCUGCAACAAGCGGCAAGUGGAAAUGCAGGGAGGCUGCAAUCUUUGUGGGAUAAAUUGGAGGAGAAAUACAUUGUUGACAAGUCAUUGUCUCCAUUUGUAUCAAACCAUUG
This 11014-nucleotide long non-coding RNA is filed under the name Solanum tuberosum (potato). RNAcentral's name for it is "long non-coding RNA (STUB_LNC007054)". The record is from RNAcentral. Lineage: Eukaryota; Viridiplantae; Streptophyta; Magnoliopsida; Solanales; Solanaceae.